This 84-nucleotide transfer RNA is filed under the name Centruroides sculpturatus (bark scorpion). RNAcentral's name for it is "tRNA-Leu". It matches the Rfam family "tRNA". Rfam says of the family: Transfer RNA (tRNA) molecules are approximately 80 nucleotides in length. The record is from RNAcentral. Lineage: Eukaryota; Metazoa; Arthropoda; Arachnida; Scorpiones; Buthidae.
GUCAGAAUGGCCGAGUGGUCUAAGGCGCCAGACUUAACUUCUGGUCCUCGUUUGAGGGCGUGGGUUCGAACCCCACUUCUGACA